RNAcentral lists this ribosomal RNA (465 nucleotides) under uncultured bacterium. RNAcentral's name for it is "partial 16S ribosomal RNA". It matches the Rfam family "Bacterial small subunit ribosomal RNA", at positions 28 to 507 of the family's 1533-position model. The record is from RNAcentral.
GACGAACGCUGGCGGCGUGCUUAACACAUGCAAGUCGAACGGAAAGGCCCUGCUUUCAGGGUACUCGCGUGGCGAACGGGUGAGUAACACGUGGGUGAAUUGCCUUGCACUUCGGGUUAAGCCUGGGAAACUGGGUCUAAUACCGGAUAGGAGCCAUUUUUAGUCUGAUGGUUGGAUAGUUUUUUCGGUUUAGGAUGAGCUCGCUGCCUAUCAGCUUGUUGGUGUGGUAAUGGCCUACCAAGGCGGCUACGGGUAGCCGGCCUGAGAGGGUGGACGGCGACAGUGGGACUGAGGUGCGGCCCAGACUGCUACGGGAGGCAGAAGGGGGGAAUAUUGAACAAGCGGCGCAAGGCUGAUGCAGAGACGCUGCGUGGGGGAUGACGGCCUUCGGGUGGUAAACUCAUUUCGCUAGGGACGAAGCUUUUUGUGACGGUACCUAGAGAAGAAGCACCGGCUAACUACGUG